Molecule: ribosomal RNA, 710 nt
Filed under: uncultured Acetivibrio sp.
Lineage: Bacteria; Bacillati; Bacillota; Clostridia; Acetivibrionales; Acetivibrionaceae
Description: bacterial SSU rRNA
Rfam family: Bacterial small subunit ribosomal RNA
Source: RNAcentral
GAGUUUGAUCCUGGUUCAGGACGUACGCUGGCGGCGCGCCUAACACAUGCAAGUCGAGCGGAGAUAUUAGUAAUAAUAUCUUAGCGGCGGACGGGUGAGUAACGCGUGGGCAACCUACCUUAAGAGGGGAAUAACUUAGGGAAACUUAAGAUAAUACCGCAUAACACUAUAGUAGAGCAUUCUACAGUAGUCAAAGGAGUAAUCCGCUUUAAGAUGGGCCCGCGUCUGAUUAGCUAGUUGGUGGGGUAACGGCCUACCAAGGCAGCGAUCAGUAGCCGAACUGAGAGGUUGAUCGGCCACAUUGGGACUGAGACACGGCCCAGACUCCUACGGGAGGCAGCAGUGGGGAAUAUUGCGCAAUGGGGGAAACCCUGACGCAGCGACGCCGCGUGGAGGAAGAAGGUCUUUGGAUUGUAAACUCUUGUCGACAGGGAAGAAAAAAGACGGUACCUGUGGAGGAAGCCCCGGCUAACUACGUGCCAGCAGCCGCGGUAAUACGUAGGGGGCUAGCGUUGUCCGGAAUUACUGGGUGUAAAGGGCGUGUAGGCGGGAUAUUAAGUCAGAUGUGAAAGGCCGAGGCUCAACUUCGGGACUGCAUCUGAAACUAAUAUUCUUGAGUGCAGGAGAGGAAAGCGGAAUUCCAAGUGUAGCGGUGAAAUGCGUAGAUAUUUGGAGGAACACCAGUGGCGAAGGCGGCUUUCUGGACUGUA